Molecule: non-coding RNA, 719 nt
Filed under: Pongo abelii (Sumatran orangutan)
Lineage: Eukaryota; Metazoa; Chordata; Mammalia; Primates; Hominidae
Source: RNAcentral
CGUGUGCUCUGGCGAUUGCAUCCCACGCAGGCAGCUCCCUUCUGUACAAGCAAAGUGGUCUCGCUGAGAAAUUUUCUAAGUGCUGGUUUCUCUUUGCGGAACCGGCUCGCCGCCCCCAAAUAUCCCAUUUGGAUCCCAUUCUCUUUCAGGCGAGGCUGGCGGUUACCUUUCUUGGGGAGACGCGUCCGACUGCUUCAUUGUGGGAGCCUCAGGAGCGGAGGAUCGGGUCCCGCCCGAGGUGACGCGUAAACCCGGACUCUCAGCAACGCGGGUAAGAAGGACCCUUGAAGUUCCGCGGCGACCACGUCGGCUGAAACCAGUAGCCCAGGACAAGUGGACCAGCCAGCAAGACCCAGACCAUCCAAACUGGCUGAUCCUACGACAGGACCCAGGUGCCAGUGAAAGUGACCACAGCCCUGCUCUGGUCACUCCGGAAGCUGACCAGUCCACGCACAGCCGAAGCUUCAUCAAGGAAGUAAAUGUAGUUAGAAAUCUUAAGCCCAGUAAUUUUCCUUGUCAUCUUAAUUGUUUUACUAUUAACCUGUCGCUUUGCUCAACCCCCUCCUCUGGGCAAACGUCUCUUGUCCAUUCUAGGUACAAACAUGCUACUCUUUCCUUUGUUCUUGCAGCUCUCGCUAUCCAUGUUAGAAGGAAGGAUAUGCGGAGAGUUUAAUUUAACUAAUUGUUGCCUAAAGAUCGAUGACAAUGAGGAGGACGUC